Long non-coding RNA from Magnolia sinica, 4698 nucleotides. RefSeq lists it as uncharacterized. The transcript has 2 exons. The record is from RefSeq and is a predicted model, not a curated record. Lineage: Eukaryota; Viridiplantae; Streptophyta; Magnoliopsida; Magnoliales; Magnoliaceae.
ACAGCUUUUCCCUAUUUUAUCACCCAAAUGACCUGUCCCUCAUAUCCUUAAUUUCCACUUCCCAUUCCCAACCAACCCAUUCAAUACUAUACAUACUGAUGCUAUCAUUUGCAUAUUAUACUUACUUACCAACCAAUCCAUCUCCUUAAUGUAGUCCACUCAUGGGAGAUCCAGACCGUUCAUCAUCUGGGUCAUGCAACAGAUGGUCCUUACCUUGACUGCAGCAAUGAUCUUGACCACCCAUAGAAGGAAACUUUUUGUGUGAUUGCAACUUGCAAUUAGAUGAAUCCAACAAACGGUUUAAAUUCGAUUGCAAAUGACACACCAAUUUGUAGACCAUGUAAAAUUGCCAUGACCCAUCCACUAUAUGGCCGGAUAGAUGAAUGAUGCGGAUCUUUCACAUGUGUUCCAGGUCUAUGAAGAGAGAAAGCUUGAUAAUUAGUUACAAGUGAUAGCACCGGAUCCUUUUCCAAACAUUACAUAGGAGCAGAAGGCACCUUUCAACCUUGGGGCCUUGAUUGUGGAAUUAUGAGAGAGAGAGAGAGAGAGAGAGAGAGAGAGAGAGAGAGAGAGAGAGAGAGAGAGAGAGAGAGAGGAGGAGGAGGAGGAGGAGGAGGAGGAGAAGUCAAGGAAGGUAGGUGUUUGGAAUGAGGUUUGAUCCAAGAUCUUCUUAUGUUUGCAUCGAUUUCUUUUCUUCUCUUAUUCAAAUUUAUUAUUGAAUUUUCUAUCGUGAGUAUUUUAUCAUACUUUCACGCAAAGAUCUCGGACCAGGCUUCAUUCCUUACACCAAGCUUUCCAUCAGAACAAAAGCCAGAUAAGUUCUUUACAUGUGGAUCUCGGUUACACCGAAUUUCCCAAAUCAAACAAAACCAAUCUAGUCUCUCGAUCCAUUUCUACAUGAAGCUUGUUCAAAAUCCCAUAUGAUUAUUUUAGUUGCACACCAAGAUAUCUACCAAAAUAAAUAGCAACCAUACCAUUAUUUAUUUAUUUAUUUAUUUUUUUGCAUUUAUUAAAAAUUAUUCAUGCCAUCUAUUUCCAUAUUUAAGUACCAUCAAAGGCACUUGAUGAUUAUGUAAGUAUAUAUACGUAGAUUAUUAGGGUUAUAUUGAUAGUAUCACCAAACCCAUGAACUAGGGUUUCUGAAAAAUAUCGAGCUCGUUGGAAGAAUUGAUAUACUAGCUUGUGGGCUUUUUGAAUUUAGUCAUGCUCUUAGAGAAGCUGGCCUUAAUAUGGAUUUUCUUGCGAAGGGGGAAGUCUUUCGAAACAAUCUAGUGGUGGGGUUUCAUUAAUUAUCCGUUGCGUCAAUGGAUCUUUGCAUGUGCCUUAGUUUUUUAUAAAAGAAAAGAAGAAGAUCAAGAAGAAGAUGAUAGCAAGUAAAAUGUAGUCUUUCAGCUAUGUUUGGAUGUUCCAUCAAAUUGGAACUGAGAUAUAUUUUGGAGCUUUUUGUGCACAUCUCAAUUGUUGUUUGGGGAUGUAAAAUCAGAAAAUGAGACCCCAACUACUAAGCCUACCGCGUUGGCUUGGAAAUCCUGCUAAUCAUGAUUUUGGUGGUGCAUCCAAACACAGGAACAAUUUAGAAAUCAUGGUAGAAUAGGUUAGUAGGGAUUUUAUUUUCCUUCAUUUUCUUACAAUUUAGAUAGGUAGUUAAUAUCUUUUAAAUUACAUUUUAUAUGUUUCUCUAAAUCAAUACAUGUUCUUUUGAUCUUCCACAAGAAGUUGAAAUGAUUUUAUUUUUUUCUAGUUCUCAAUCCUUUUGGUUGGAUAUUAAUUUGUUUGGAUCACCACAUGGAAAUUUUAGCUAGUAGCAUGUUUUUUCUCCUUGAUUACGAGUGAUUAUAUCUGUAUGUGGUAUGUUUUCACUUAGUUAAGGUCUAAUGCAAGGAUUAAAUAGUAGUGAAGUGUUGGGUUUUGGGCGUGUUGGAAUCGGUGGCCCUGAUCAGAAUGGAUAGGAUUAGCCAGAUUGGUUUUGUUUUAAUUGGGUGGUGAAAUGUGACUGAUCAGAAAAAGGUCUAAUUUAAUUAGCACAUUUUAAUCUUCGGCCUGGUGUGGUUUGAUAAACCAAAAGUCUUGCCUUUUCAGAUUACAAUAGUUUCAGAUUGAAAUUUCUCAAAAAAGAUUGUGAUUAUCCUCCUUUCCAAACAGGCCCUUAGUAGCAUUCAAACAACUUAGAAAGCAUAAAUGCACAUUUUAAUUUCUCAGUCUUAUUUGUACUUUAGCAACAUGUCACUUUUCUUUGAUUGUUCUAAAUGCCCAUUUUAUUUUAAGAACUAAAAUAGGUUUUUAGGGUUUCUUUGGUCACUCUAGAAAGUUCGCACUUAGGGUUCGAACCAUCUAGGGUAUAUUUUGUGGAAGUUUAGGGUGCUUAUACCUUUUUUAGAUAUCAAGCACCAUAUGUCUGUGCACCUGGAACACGUGUAUGAGAUGUGGACGGUUCAUCUGGUAGGUCCAACCUCUGACAGGACAUGCUCCAAAAUUGAAACUGUCUGAAUGGUCCUAGCUGCAGAUUUGGGGGACUUUAGUCGUUUUAUGUUGACUGUUGAUCGGACAUUUUGUUACCACCCUUUCAAAAUCAAUAAAAAAAAAAAAACCUCCACUUAAGUGUAAUUUUUGUGGCUCAGUACUCAUCCAUCCAUAUGGUGGGACGCAACAGAUGAAUGGUACAUAUGUGCCACACGUUCUGAGUCCAGUACAAGUGAUAGCACUAAACCUUUUCUCAAUUAUUAUCUUUGAUUAUCGUAUUCUAUCAACUAUUAUCACAUGCUUUUGGAAUGCUCUUUUAUUUGUUAUCCAACACUCAAUCUAUGCACACACGCCAAACACAUGCAAGUUCUGAAUUGUUCAUCUAUUCUAACCUACCAAGCAAUACCGACAAUCAUAGGCAUUGGUUGGAGGGGUUUUAUCAUUGAAUGUUGAUAGUUGGUUGGAGUUUUCCUAACUACCCAUUUGUAAUCAUCAGAGUCCUCUAAUCAGUGGACACUGUAAAUGAAAAGUCAUGAAAUCACCACGUGGGACAUGGAUGUUUAUCGUUUUGUAUCUAGCUUUACUGGAUCUUUCUUUUCAUAGGCCAAAAUCUAAUGAACUCUAAUUUCUGUUAAUUAAAAAAAAAAAAAAAAAAACAUAGUUCAAAAAUCCCUUGAAACUCUAUUCGACUCGAGUCGAUAUAUAUAGCUGGUUCGGAUACCUGAUUUCUAGAGUUCUAACUUUUUCAUCAUUAGUGUUAAAAAGCCCACCAUCCAAAUAGGUUUCAUUGUGAUUUGGCUCAAAAUAUCACCGACCUGAGUUGACUCAACUAAGUUUCAGUCGAGUUUUAGAACCAUGCAGUGAAGUCACAUGGCAGGUAUUUGUCACUCUAAUUGCAAUUAUUGAUAGUAUUCAACUUCGGCUUUGUAUCUGAGCUUCCCAUUCGAGGCAGUCCCAUUUGGGGGUAUUUCAGUAGCCAAUAAAUAAAGAAGAGGGUUGGAAAGCCUUUUUUAACCCUAAUUUCUUGUGAGUAACAUGGUAUCAGAGCUGAACUAACCCUACUUCUUCUCCCCAUCUCCUUUCAUGCUUCUUUAUUAGAGUUGGGCUUAGGCCAAAGCCUACAAACAAAACCCAAGUUGAAUACUAACUAGCAAUAUUAUUAUUUUUUUCUUUUUUAUUUUUUAAUUAGCAAUAUUUACUUUAGCUUAAAGUAGUUUGAGUUCGAUGGUGCAUCCAAAUAUAUCCCGAUUGUUUGGAUUGUGAAUUACUCAUAAUGAUGAUUAUUUUAUAUGACUUUAAUAUUAAAUCAAUACACACACACACACACACACACACUUUGAUGUAUCUAUGUUUCGAUAGGAGAUUUUAUUUUAAAUUUGUAUUGAUUACAAAUUCAUUUAAUUAUUCUUAAUAAUGAUUAUUUUACAUGACUUUAAUAUCAAAUUAGAAGAAAAAAAAUACUGAUGCGCAUGUUUGGAUAGGAGAUUUUACUGUAAACUUAUAGUGAUUAAAAAAAUCAUUUACCUAUAUUCUAUUCCAUUUUCAUUAUACUGCAAAAUUACGUGUUUAAACGAACGUUGUAAAAUUAUAAUGAUAACACUUUUAUAGUACAUUAUUAUUAUAAUUUGCAAUCCAAACCUUAGUGUUCCUCCAUUCCUCUUCAUUAAGCUAAAUGUUUAUGAUUCGAUGCGCUCAUGCUUCCAAACGCACUAUUAGACAUAAAGGUGUAUUUUUAGCAACAAUUAUGCUUAAUUUGCACUUAAGGUGUUUGCUUGCAGCCAUCUAUAAGGCACAUUAUCUACAUGCCACCCCCAUGGCAGACAGAUGCAAUAGCUAGCCAAGGCGUCCAUCGAGAAGUUGUUCCACAACUAUGGCCCGCCUGAUUGGUGGAACGACCAGAUUCUUGGGCCAGCAAAUCCACACAAUGGCGCCCUUUGAUGGAUGGCUUAGAUCUCGGACGUAUGUGAUGUACUGGCACAAAUACUGAACUGUACGUAAGCAGUUUUCAUCCCCGACGUACUACAAUAUCAUAUGUCAGGACUUUCACCUUUGAAUCCGGGUCACCUUCCAAUUAUCCAAACCGUUUAAAUGGCGAGUCUUACUUUGUGUGGUGGAAUUAAAUCCAAAGUCCCAUUUCGACUAUUUCAACCCUUUCAUUAUUAGGCUCCUUUGCUAUGAACAUGAACGGUCACCAUAACUUUUGUGUAAUGAAAAGGGCUGAAAUAUUAGAUUGGUAAA